UUGGGGGAUUCAGACUUUAUAGUUUCUUUUAUUAACAGAUUUACGAUUUUUAAAGGAGAGGUUGAAAAAAUAAAGCAUUAAGAAGUGUAAUCAUAUCUGUUAAAUGAAAAAAAUACCCAUUGAAACCGUCAAUAAAGGGAGCUACUAUUUGAUUUUUAUUUGGGGGAGGGGCUAGGAUGAAUAGUUUUGUCCUGCAUUUUUUAUGUUGAAAUCUCUAUCCUGCGUUUUUAUUUUUACUCUAUUCGGUCCUGUUUUUUUCAUCCUGA
This 266-nucleotide long non-coding RNA is filed under the name Mytilus galloprovincialis (Mediterranean mussel). The record is from RNAcentral. Lineage: Eukaryota; Metazoa; Mollusca; Bivalvia; Mytilida; Mytilidae.